AACGAACGCUGGCGGCAUGCCUAACACAUGCAAGUCGAACGAGACCUUCGGGUCUAGUGGCGCACGGGUGCGUAACGCGUGGGAACCUGCCCUUAGGUUCGGAAUAACUCCCCGAAAGGGGUGCUAAUACCGGAUAAUGUCUUCGGACCAAAGAUUUAUCGCCUUUGGAUGGGCCCGCGUUGGAUUAGCUAGUUGGUAGGGUAAAAGCCUACCAAGGCGACGAUCCAUAGCUGGUCUGAGAGGAUGAUCAGCCACACUGGGACUGAGACACGGCCCAGACUCCUACGGGAGGCAGCAGUGGGGAAUAUUGGACAAUGGGCGAAAGCCUGAGCCAGCAAUGCCGCGUGAGUGAUGAAGGACUUAGGGUUGUAAAGCUCUUUUACCCGGGAUGAUAAUGACAGUACCGGGAGAAUAAGCUCCGGCUAACUCCGUG
This 433-nucleotide ribosomal RNA is filed under the name uncultured bacterium. RNAcentral describes it as "partial 16S ribosomal RNA". It matches the Rfam family "Bacterial small subunit ribosomal RNA", at positions 29 to 507 of the family's 1533-position model. The record is from RNAcentral.